This 327-nucleotide long non-coding RNA is filed under the name Numida meleagris (helmeted guineafowl). RNAcentral's name for it is "lncRNA (ENSNMEG00000010157.1)". The record is from RNAcentral. Lineage: Eukaryota; Metazoa; Chordata; Aves; Galliformes; Numididae.
CGUCUAUGUCUGUAGCAUUCUGAUAAAGCUCCUAGUAAACAAUUAUCACCUGUGAGACUAAAAUGGAAGGUCAGUGAAGACUGCAGAUUGCUACAAAGCUGAGCUGUGAAUGUGGAAACGGAAGACUUGCGAGUAAAAUGUAUUUUAAUACUUAAGGCCUUAGUCACAAAACCAGAUCCACAGAGUUCUUUCAGGAAAUCCCAGAGGGCCAUGCUUCUUGAGUCGGGUAAGAACUCAGAUUUCAAAUGCAUUGUCUUUAAACUUAGAAACUAAUUGGAUUUACAUUCUUUCUCUAGUUGCUCCCAGUUUUUUAACUUAGUAACUAAC